This 49-nucleotide transfer RNA is filed under the name Tecunumania stothertiae. RNAcentral's name for it is "partial tRNA-Phe". It matches the Rfam family "tRNA", at positions 1 to 47 of the family's 71-position model. From Rfam's summary of the family: Transfer RNA (tRNA) molecules are approximately 80 nucleotides in length. Their secondary structure includes four short double-helical elements and three loops (D, anti-codon, and T loops). Lineage: Eukaryota; Viridiplantae; Streptophyta; Magnoliopsida; Cucurbitales; Cucurbitaceae. The record is from RNAcentral.
GCCCGGAUAGCUCAGUUGGUAGAGCAGAGGACUGAAAAUCCUCGUGUCA